UACGAAGGGGGCUAGCGUUGUUCGGAAUUACUGGGCGUAAAGCGCGUGUAGGCGGGUCUUUAAGUCAGGGGUGAAAUGCCAAGGCUCAACCUUGGAACUGCCUUUGAUACUGGCAAGCUAGAGUGUGUCAGAGGAUGGUGGAAUUCCCGGUGUAGCGGUGAAAUGCGUAGAGAUCGGGAGGAACAUCAGUGGCGAAGGCGGCCAUCUGGGACAACACUGACGCUGAGGCACGAAAGCGUGGGGAGCAAACAGG
RNAcentral lists this ribosomal RNA (253 nucleotides) under uncultured bacterium. RNAcentral describes it as "partial 16S ribosomal RNA". It matches the Rfam family "Bacterial small subunit ribosomal RNA", at positions 524 to 776 of the family's 1533-position model. The record is from RNAcentral.